Regulatory RNA element from Monodelphis domestica (gray short-tailed opossum), 46 nucleotides. It matches the Rfam family "Histone 3' UTR stem-loop". Rfam says of the family: The mRNAs of metazoan histone genes lack a poly-A tail. 3' end processing occurs at a site between a highly conserved stem-loop (modelled by this family) and a purine rich region around 20 nts downstream (the histone downstream element, or HDE). NCBI's taxonomy places the organism in Eukaryota, Metazoa, Chordata, Mammalia, Didelphimorphia, Didelphidae. The record is from Rfam.
CCAAAGGCUCUUUUAAGAGCCACCCCCAGAAUCUUUGGGAGAGCUG